UAAAAGCACACAUGUUCAUAGAGGGGCUGCAUCUGGCUAAAAGUAAACCAGAAAAUGAUCUCUCGGUCUUUUUUUUUCACCAAGUUGAACACCGAAAAGCAAAUGGUAAAGCAGGCCAUUAAUGAUGCUUAUUGUAGCUGGUAGGAAAUAGGAGCUUAAGACAUCAUGUUCCGAUGACAAAUCUGCUGGAGUUUGAUUUCUGGACUCCCUUUCAUCUGCUCAGGGACAGAGCCAAGAUUUCCC
This 243-nucleotide long non-coding RNA is filed under the name Solanum tuberosum (potato). RNAcentral describes it as "long non-coding RNA (STUB_LNC005584)". The record is from RNAcentral. Lineage: Eukaryota; Viridiplantae; Streptophyta; Magnoliopsida; Solanales; Solanaceae.